ACGCUCGACACCUACGGAGGCAGCAGUGGGGAAUAUUGCACAAUGGGGGAAACCCUGAUGCAGCGACGCCGCGUGGAGGAAGAAGGUCUUCGGAUUGUAAACUCCUGUUGUUGGGGAAAAAGAGGAUGGUACCCAACAAGGAAGUGACGGCUAACUACGUGGCAGCAGCCGCGGUAAUCUGAGCGGGCUGGCAAGGC
RNAcentral lists this ribosomal RNA (197 nucleotides) under uncultured bacterium. RNAcentral's name for it is "partial 16S ribosomal RNA". It matches the Rfam family "Bacterial small subunit ribosomal RNA", at positions 328 to 539 of the family's 1533-position model. The record is from RNAcentral.